This 902-nucleotide ribosomal RNA is filed under the name Keithomyces carneus. RNAcentral's name for it is "partial large subunit ribosomal RNA". It matches the Rfam family "Eukaryotic large subunit ribosomal RNA", at positions 36 to 963 of the family's 3401-position model. Lineage: Eukaryota; Fungi; Ascomycota; Sordariomycetes; Hypocreales; Clavicipitaceae. The record is from RNAcentral.
UAGCAUAUCAAUAAGCGGAGGAAAAGAAACCAACAGGGAUUGCCCCCAGUAACGGCGAGUGAAGCGGCAACAGCUCAAAUUUGAAAUCUGGCCCCCAGGGUCCGAGUUGUAAUUUGCAGAGGAUGCUUUUGGCAAGGUGCCUUCCGAGUUCCCUGGAACGGGACGCCAUAGAGGGUGAGAGCCCCGUCUGGUUGGAUACCGAGCCUCUGUAAAGCUCCUUCGACGAGUCGAGUAGUUUGGGAAUGCUGCUCUAAAUGGGAGGUAUAUGUCUUCUAAAGCUAAAUAUUGGCCAGAGACCGAUAGCGCACAAGUAGAGUGAUCGAAAGAUGAAAAGCACUUUGAAAAGAGGGUUAAAUAGUACGUGAAAUUGUUGAAAGGGAAGCGCUCAUGACCAGACUUGGGCCCGGUGAAUCAUCCAGCGCUCGUCGCUGGUGCACUUUGCCGGGCUCAGGCCAGCAUCAGUUCGCUCCGGGGGACAAAGGCUCUGGGAAUGUGGCUCCUCCGGGAGUGUUAUAGCCCACUGCGCAAUACCCUGGGGCGGACUGAGGUUCGCGCAUUCGUGCAAGGAUGCUGGCGUAAUGGUCAUCAGUGACCCGUCUUGAAACACGGACCAAGGAGUCGUCUUCGUAUGCAAGUGUUCGGGUGUAAAACCCCUACGCGUAAUGAAAGUGAACGCAGGUGAGAGCUUCGGCGCAUCAUCGACCGAUCCUGAUGUUCUCGGAUGGAUUUGAGUAAGAGCAUACGGGGCCGGACCCGAAAGAAGGUGAACUAUGCCUGUAUAGGGUGAAGCCAGAGGAAACUCUGGUGGAGGCUCGCAGCGGUUCUGACGUGCAAAUCGAUCGUCAAAUAUGGGCAUGGGGGGCGAAAGACUAAUCGAACCUUCUAGUAGCUGGUUUCCGCCG